RNAcentral lists this ribosomal RNA (460 nucleotides) under uncultured bacterium. RNAcentral's name for it is "partial 16S ribosomal RNA". It matches the Rfam family "Bacterial small subunit ribosomal RNA", at positions 338 to 795 of the family's 1533-position model. The record is from RNAcentral.
CCUACGGGAGGCUGCAGUGAGGAAUAUUGGUCAAUGGGCGCGAGCCUGAACCAGCCAAGUAGCGUGAAGGAUGACUGCCCUACGGGUUGUAAACUUCUUUUAUAAAGGAAUAAAGUGAGGCACGUGUGCCUUUUUGUAUGUACUUUAUGAAUAAGGAUCGGCUAACUCCGUGCCAGCAGCCGCGGUAAUACGGAGGAUCCGAGCGUUAUCCGGAUUUAUUGGGUUUAAAGGGAGCGUAGAUGGGUUGUUAAGUCAGUUGUGAAAGUUUGCGGCUCAACCGUAAAAUUGCAAUUGAUACUGGCAGCCUUGAGUACAGUUGAGGUAGGCGGAAUUCGUGGUGUAGCGGUGAAAUGCUUAGAUAUCACGAAGAACUCCGAUUGCGAAGGCAGCUUACUAAACUGCCACUGACAUUGAUGCUCGAAAGUGUGGGUAUCGAACAGGAUUAGAUACCCCAGUAGUC